UUUCUUCCUUGUGGAAUAAAUGUGCUUUCAAAAUUAUUUGGAAAUAUUAUCUUCCUUGUGGAACACAACUAUUAUUUGUGUUCCUUAUUCACUUUCUUCUUACACUUUGGUCUCAUUCUUAGUUUUGGAUUUUAAUUUUGUGUAGCCCAUUGUUUAUAACUUGUACACCUCGGGUUGAGUAGUCUGCACUUUUCAAAAUGUGUAACUUUACGCUUUCUAAGUAGAGGAUUUAAGCUCAUGAUUUGUCCUUAUGCAUUAGUCCUAAAAAAAGUCAGCUGAUCAUUCUUCGUUUUUUUUAAGGUCUCUUUUUUAUUGUGCAUGGUGAAAUAUGGUUCAGCAAUUAUUUAACCUGUUGUGCUAUGAUAAUAGUCAUAUGUAUGUUUGACUAAUUAUAAGCUUUGGAUUGUUUGGUGUAAUUUAAUGAAAUCAUUAGUGCCAUAUUUGUUUGUAGGUGACUCAUGCAAAGAUCUCUUACAUAACUAGUUUUGUGGCACUGGAUUGUUUUUCCUUGAGCUUAUCAUUAUUGAUAAUGGAAGGCAAAUUCUACUCUAUAAUAAUUUUCCUCGAAAGUGUAAUUUGUUGUCCUAUUUUAAUUGCUCAUGCGUGUUAUAUUCUGUUGGAUAGUUGAUUUUAGCAUUUACAAUGGUUCCUAAACCAAAGUUUUUGAUUUUGUGGCAUAUCGUUUCCAGCAGAGAGGCCAUUAUACACGAUUGGUUGAAAAUUUGCUGAUGUUUGUUCUCUUCAUUUUUAGGGUGUUGGUUUGAUUGGAAUAUAUAGAAUUUCAUCAUUGUGACCGUAUUCUCAAAUAAGAAGAGUUGAAUUUAAAACUCUGUAGUUGGUCCUGUGCAUUGUUCAUGCUUCAGGUCCAAAAAGCAUUUUGCUUGAGGAAUGUGUUAGGGAUGAUGCAAAAUCAUUUCUGUGCCUUGCCCAACAAUUUGGAUUUAAACUUUUAAGAUGGUGCAUACAGACGAAACAGAAGUUUAUUCAAUCAGAAAGGGAUACUUCUCUGAGAGAUGUAAGAGCAAGUUCUGGAAUCUGAGAGGGUUGGGAACAGUAAUAAAGUGCUAAGUUAUGAUUAAUUGGCGUGAACCAUCAGAUUUCUAAAUGUGGAAUAGACUUGAAGGUUUGGCGCAUAAAAUGAAUGUUUUGAAG
This 1152-nucleotide small RNA is filed under the name Vigna angularis var. angularis. RNAcentral describes it as "Non-protein coding transcript". Lineage: Eukaryota; Viridiplantae; Streptophyta; Magnoliopsida; Fabales; Fabaceae. The record is from RNAcentral.